GCUCUUUGACAUACUUGAUAUAAGGCGACAAUAAUAGAUAACUCACGCAGGUGCAAUGCCUGCACAGUGAAUAACAAUACCGCUUGCAAGGUCAGACUUAGCGUGCUGACCGCUGAACGGCUUACGACCGACACCCCGCCCCUCGCAAAGGGCUUGCAAGCAC
Molecule: small RNA, 163 nt
Filed under: unclassified sequences
Description: DUF2693 RNA
Rfam family: DUF2693 RNA
Source: Rfam by way of RNAcentral